RNAcentral lists this transfer RNA (75 nucleotides) under Mycoplasmatota bacterium. RNAcentral's name for it is "Tenericutes bacterium (anaerobic digester metagenome) tRNA-Gln". It matches the Rfam family "tRNA". Rfam says of the family: Transfer RNA (tRNA) molecules are approximately 80 nucleotides in length. The record is from RNAcentral. Lineage: Bacteria; Bacillati; Mycoplasmatota.
UGCCUUGUGGCCAAGUGGUAAGGCUCUGGACUCUGACUCCAGCAUUCAUAGGUUCGAAUCCUAUCAAGGCAACCA